AACAGCUCUGCUCCAAGAUUCCAAACGGUUUUACGGUACUGUAUGCCUACAAAACGUUAAUAUUUUUUGGAGGCGGUAAUACUCGGAUGAACUGACCUUUAUGGGUGGGUAUUCAACGUUGAAUAAAGUAGGCUUGUAGCCCUCUGCCUAUUGACUUCUAAGGGUUUUAGUAAUAUUUAUCGAAUAUCUCAUCUGAUAUGCAUUUUCACUCACAGUCGUCGAAAUCGAAAAAUCAUAAGCUUAGAAAUCCGCGGACUUGACAUAUUAUAUUUUAUCGACGAUUCGUUUCGACUUGCUGUCAUGUCAGCUAAUCAUCCGUUGCUUCUCCUAUUUUCACAGGUGCAUUACCUGUCAUCUUUACCGUCGAUACCGUUGAAGAUUUUACCGUCGAUCACGGAGCACCCAUUGCGCUGACCGUUGCUGGCACUUUUUUAUUUGUCACUAGCUAUUAGUUAUCUGCAGAUAUACAUUAGCCACCUGUACACCCGCUUACACUAGCUCUCAUCAUCUAGUUCUACGUAUGUGUGUGUUUGUUUUAAUUGUAUUGCCGAUGAAUUCGGUAGACAUGCUCCGCCCGCAAACAUGUACCACAUGAUGCAGUUCAGUGAAUGUAGCAGUUAAUCACUCGUAAAAAGCGGUCAUGUUUUCGUAUAGUGUAGGUAUGCAUCUAUGUAAGCAUGUGUUCACACUCAUGAGCGAUCCACACAUGAUAUUGCAUUUCCUGUUCAGUUAUAUUUUUAGCACUGGAACACGAUGCUCAUACACUGUGUUGUUAUCUUUCUUUUUUCGCCUGCUCCUUCCUCCAACUUGUGUCUUUGAGUAUUUCAGUCACAUGCUCAAACGUUCUUAAAUGCUCUCGCCAUCGGUUUACGGAUGCGUUGAAAACGGACAUGUGAUGACCAAAUUUAACAAUAUGCGGACAAUGGAUCGACUUCUUGAAGCCUGUGGACGUGAUACACCUUCUCCAUCACCAUCAAGAGAUCAACAUUUUCGAAGACACUUGCGUACGGCUGCAGUGUCCGGCGCAAUGCUGAAUGCGACCUGUUAUCUGUUGGAUCUACUCUGUGAGCCCGAACCCCAGUGCAAUGGCACUGUUCGACUAUAGCGCUGGACGUCGUCUACUUUUUGCUAGAGGGAAAGGUCAUCAUCCGUCCAUGAACUUCGGGCUGCUCACAGCUAUAUUGCCUUGGCAAGUUCUUUGAGCACUCAAUACUGGACUUGGGCUGCGAAAGCUAAUGACAAUUUGGGGAGCUUGAUAUUGCAAUGGCUAUGACGUGAAGGCUCAAUAUGACGAACAGCUGGACUAUUCACCAUUGUCAACGCUUAUGAUAGCUAAAUAUCAUUGUGCUUGGUGUACAUUCACGUCUCGUUUCCUUGCUCCAUUUGUACCUCACCGGUCGUCCGUCCCCACAGGCCUCGGCUGCAGCACAAGCCACAUUCAUCGGCCCAAUCAUCAGUUAUUCAUCCUGCAAGUUUUAAGUCACUUCGUUGUGACCCGGACAUCGUCAUCUUUCAACGAGUUCAAAUGAUUAUUUCAUUCAUCAUCGUCGAUCAGACUCAUCAUGUAAAGACACUUCCAUAAUGCUAGCCGCCAUCUACGUUUGUGCAGGAAGCAAAUAUCAGGUUGUUAUUAGCUGCGGGCUACUCAGUACCGACUGAACUACUGGCAGUAGUGUGCGAGCACCUAAUACUUGUAUUGUGAUACCAAAGCUAAAACGGAUGAUAGCUUAGCGCAUAGGGCCCUACCGCUUUCCACACACACACACAAACAAAACUUGACUUUGGGCAUUAGCACCAUGGCAGGAUAAACAGGCAGUUUCGCUGUUUUUCACUGCUUUCAUUGGCAGGUGUUACUGCUCAUUCCCGUUUUAUGUGAUGUUAGAACAGCCCUUCACCAUAGUCCUGUUUUCUCCUUUGCCGUUUUCCAUAGACAUCAGAUGCGACAUGCACUCCAACGAUCGGUCAGGCGCAUCACCGUCAAUCCGGUCGCCUGUUAAGCAGUUCGUAAUCACCGUCAGUCUUCGACAUCUGUCAACACACUUAUCCACAUUAUCGCCUUACUUUUGAUCUUAUCAAUAUGCAAGAAUGAGUGCAAAAUGCAUUCCAAUAUUGCAUCAGUUGAUGUUGUAUCGCAAUGACACCGCGUCCUCACCUCACAUCUGUUGUGCAUACUUGAUCACGAAUGCCAGUUAUACGCAGAUUCACAUGGUGAAGUUUUACUCCGUUGACGUUUUCUUUCCAUUCUUGUAGUCGAUCAAGAGGGAUUACAGUUGCACAUGCGGCCUUACACAUGCGUCCUUACAUGUUAGCUGAUUGAUAUGUUGGACACACUGGUUCCUGUGACUCCAAGUAGUUCUGCAUUGGUAUUGCUUCACUUUAUAUGUUCUACCCAAAGAUCGUUUCUAGUUUUGUCUUAGCUUGCAGCUGUAUGCCAUGAACAUACAGGGUACUGCGCAUCUUUACCGUGACAUUCCUGUAGUUUCGUCACUUUCGCGGAUGAUUAGGACCAUGAGCUCAGUUGCAGAUGCGUCCAGCAGCCACCGACAUUUCUACACUUUAAAUUCCUAGUCUCGGAUCUUAUCCACAUACCAACAUGAUUUGAACAUUUCACACGUUUAGUGAUGAAAUGAGCAGGUAUCAUCUACUACAUUAUAUUUUCAUGUAAAGCACACUCCAGUCUGUGAAAAAAAGAAAACCAUUAGGAGCAACAAUCAUGCCUUAGACAGUAUAGUUGCCAUAGAUAUUACGUUGUGCAGCGGGCAGGCCGGUGCACGAAAUGGCGAGUGUGAAUGCAGGAAUGCGUGUGAAAAACUGCCUAGGUGUGGAGUGGCUGGUUUGUCUUCCGUUACAUCGUAACGGGCUCUUGACGUAGUCUUUUUUUAGUAACACCAAUCAUCUUUCGAACUUGAAUUAACGUAAUUGAAAGAUGGCUAUCACAUUUGGAGCCAACUUAUUUGCUAAUUGCGUCAAGGGCGGGCAGCGCGGUGCGUGGAUGCCUUUUGGUAAAGCUCACGUCCUAAUAUACUAUCCUGCCCUUACCAAGCGUGCAUCCAUGUUUCCUCCAUCCGGCUCCUCGUGCCGCUGCCUGGAAUAUUAGCCUACGGCUAAUAUACCAAGAGAUGGAAAACUUUUCGUUGGUAUGGAAUAUGGAUGCCUCGUGGUUCAACUGGUGAUGUUCAAAACAACUGUACCGUGUGUCAGGUAGGUCUUACUUACUCACUUUCCGCUUCAUUUUUU
Molecule: long non-coding RNA, 3237 nt
Filed under: Amphibalanus amphitrite
Lineage: Eukaryota; Metazoa; Arthropoda; Thecostraca; Balanomorpha; Balanidae
Description: uncharacterized LOC122376281
Source: RNAcentral